Molecule: long non-coding RNA, 596 nt
Organism: Stegostoma tigrinum
Lineage: Eukaryota; Metazoa; Chordata; Chondrichthyes; Orectolobiformes; Stegostomatidae
Exons: 4
Source: RefSeq, a predicted model, not a curated record
UGGAUUCACUUGGAAUCCCAAAAGGAGAAAGUAAUAAUUUACUCCAGUUGACUGCCUUCUUUCAUCCACACUUCAAGGUAAUGGAUGGCCGUUAAUAACAGUAAAAACAAAGAAGGAUAAGUUGAAGGUGAUGAUGAAGAGCCCAACUGAGAAGAUUGAUAUUACAGGAGAGCAACAGACCAAUAUGGUAUGGUUUUAAAAAUAAAAUUUCCACUUGCAUUCCUGGAAGGCUUCUCUGAAUCUGGAUACCUCCAGGAUGCAGUGCGAUUUACAAAAGGAGAGUGGGAGGUGAGGACAUUGGAAUCUAUUUGCCUCCAAUUAAUGGCUCCAUAAGCUCCCUGCGGAGCUUGUUAAACGUUGUGGAGGGGCUGAAGCACCCAAAUCCGAGUGAACUGAGAAUUUUUGUGUCAUUUAAUGAAACUUGUCCCAGACAUACGGGAUUGUUCAUGGAUUCUACACACUCAUAGGUUAUGAGAACACAGGUACACGAGUAGGUAAUUCAGCCCAUUCAGCCUGCUACAUCAUUCAACACUUUCAUGAAGGACAGGGCACUUCAAUGUGUUUUACCUGCACUGUUGCCAUAAUCUUUUAUGUCA